Molecule: ribosomal RNA, 484 nt
Filed under: uncultured bacterium
Lineage: Bacteria
Description: partial 16S ribosomal RNA
Rfam family: Bacterial small subunit ribosomal RNA
Source: RNAcentral
AUUGAACGCUGGCGGCAUGCUUUACACAUGCAAGUCGAACGGCAGCGCGGGCUUCGGCCUGGCGGCGAGUGGCGAACGGGUGAGUAAUACAUCGGAACGUGCCCAGUAGUGGGGGAUAGCUCGGCGAAAGCCGGAUUAAUACCGCAUACGACCUGAGGGUGAAAGCGGGGGAUCUUCGGACCUCGCGCUAUUGGAGCGGCCGAUGGCAGAUUAGCUAGUUGGUGGGGUAAAGGCCUACCAAGGCGACGAUCUGUAGCUGGUCUGAGAGGACGACCAGCCGCACUGGGACUGAGGCACGGCCCAGACUCCUACGGGAGGCAGCAGUGGGGAAUUUUGGACAAUGGGCGAAAGCCUGAUCCAGCAAUGCCGCGUGUGUGAUGAAGGCCUUCGGGUUGUAAAGCACUUUUGGCGGGAACGAAAAGGACUGUGCCAAUACCACGGUUCGAUGACGGUACCCGCAGAAUAAGCACCGGCUAACUACGUG